GGGUCAGUAGGUUGGUCGUGCCACCGGUACGUACUGGUCUCACUGAUUCCUCCUUCCUGAAGAACCGUAAUGCCAUUAAUUUGGUGUUGCGGGGAAACAGGACUGUUACUUUGAAAAAAUUAGAGUGUUUAUAGCAAGCUAACGCUUGAAUACAUUAGCACGGAAUAAUGAAAUAGGACGAUCGAUCCUAUUUUGUUGGUUUCUAGGAUUGACGUA
This 216-nucleotide ribosomal RNA is filed under the name Glomeromycotina sp. Its description in RNAcentral is "partial small subunit ribosomal RNA". The stretch from base 40 to 216 matches the Rfam family "Eukaryotic small subunit ribosomal RNA", at positions 686 to 864 of the family's 1831-position model. The record is from RNAcentral. Lineage: Eukaryota; Fungi; Glomeromycota.